This 442-nucleotide ribosomal RNA is filed under the name uncultured bacterium. Its description in RNAcentral is "partial 16S ribosomal RNA". It matches the Rfam family "Bacterial small subunit ribosomal RNA", at positions 338 to 795 of the family's 1533-position model. The record is from RNAcentral.
CCUAGGGGUGGCUGCAGUGGGGGAUAUUGGACAAUGGGGGGAACCCUGAUCCAGCGACGCCGCGUGAGUGAAGAAGUAUCUCGGUAUGUAAAGCUCUAUCAGCAGGGAAGAAGAAAUGACGGUACCUGAGUAAGAAGCCCCGGCUAACUACGUGCCAGCAGCCGCGGUAAUACGUAGGGGGCAAGCGUUAUCCGGAAUUACUGGGUGUAAAGGGAGCGUAGACGGUGAUGUAAGUCUGGAGUGAAAGGCGGGGGCCCAACCCCCGGACUGCUCUGGAAACUAUGUGACUGGAGUGCAGGAGAGGUGAGCGGAAUUCCUAGUGUAGCGGUGAAAUGCGUAGAUAUUAGGAGGAACAUCGGUGGCGAAAGCGCUUUACUGGACCAUUAUUGACGCUGAGGAACGAAAGCCAGGGGAGCAAAUGGGAUUAGAUACCCUUGUAGUC